RNAcentral lists this ribosomal RNA (170 nucleotides) under Argyrops bleekeri (Taiwan tai). RNAcentral describes it as "partial 12S rRNA". Lineage: Eukaryota; Metazoa; Chordata; Actinopteri; Spariformes; Sparidae. The record is from RNAcentral.
CACCGCGGUUAUACGGGAGGCCCAAGUUGAUAGAAAUCGGCGUAAAGGGUGGUUAAGAACAAGCUUAAAAUUAAAGCCGAACGCCUUCAAGGCUGUUAUACGCAUCCGAAGGUAAGAAGCCCAAUCACGAAAGUAGCUUUAUAUAUUCUGACUCCACGAAAGCUAAGGCA